GCCUGGGUGGCUCAGUUGGUUGAGCAUCCGACUUUGGCUCAGGUCAUGAUCUCACAGUUUGUGGGUUUGAGCCCCACGUCGGGCU
RNAcentral lists this transfer RNA (85 nucleotides) under Felis catus (domestic cat). It matches the Rfam family "tRNA". From Rfam's summary of the family: Transfer RNA (tRNA) molecules are approximately 80 nucleotides in length. Their secondary structure includes four short double-helical elements and three loops (D, anti-codon, and T loops). Further hydrogen bonds mediate the characteristic L-shaped molecular structure. tRNAs have two regions of fundamental functional importance: the anti-codon, which is responsible for specific mRNA codon recognition, and the 3' end, to which the tRNAs corresponding amino acid is attached (by aminoacyl-tRNA synthetases). tRNAs cope with the degeneracy of the genetic code in two manners: having more than one tRNA (with a specific anti-codon) for a particular amino acid; and 'wobble' base-pairing, i.e. permitting non-standard base-pairing at the 3rd anti-codon position. The record is from Rfam by way of RNAcentral. Lineage: Eukaryota; Metazoa; Chordata; Mammalia; Carnivora; Felidae. RNAcentral also lists the same sequence under 1 other name.